ACGGUAGUGUCUCGCACUAUCGUGGCUUUAACGGGUAACGGGGAAUUAGGGUUCGAUUCCGGAGAGGCAGCCUGAGAGACGGCUACCACAUCCAAGGAAGGCAGCAGGCACGUAAAUUAUCCAAUCCUGACACGAGGAGAUAGUGACAAGUGGUAACGAUACCGAGACUUUUUAGUUUUGGUAAUCGGAAUGAGGAAAGUGUAAAAAUCUUAGCGAGGAUCCAAUGGAGGGCAAGUCUGGUGCCAGCAGCCGCGGUAAUUCCAGCUCCAUUAGUGUAUAUUAAAGUUGUUGCGGUUAAAAAGCUCGUAGUUGGAUAUCUGAAUUAGUUAGCCUGACCCAUGUUAAGUCUUUGAUUUAGCUUGUGUUUGUCGGAGCUGACUCGUUCAUCUAUUUCAAGUAUACAUCAUGUUUUGGCUUUAUUGCUAGAAUGUGAUGGAACACUUGAAUCGUUUACUUUGAAUAAAGGAGUAUGUUUAAAGUAGGCUAUACACGUCAUUGUAUUUUUUAGCAUGGAAUAAUAAAUUAGGGCUUUGUGUUUCUUUUUUAUUGGUUACGAAUCUACAUGAGCAAUGAUUAAUUGGGCAGGUUGGGAGUGCUAAUAUUGAUUGGGAAGGAGUGAAACCCUAUGAUCCUUUCAAGAUUUCCAAAAGCGUAAGCAUUCACUAAGGCCUGUUUCUUUAAUCAAGAACGAAAGUUGGGGGAGCGAAGACGAUUAGAUACCGUCGUAGUCCCAACUGUAAACAAUAUCACCUCGGGAUAUGUCCCGUUGACCUUUUCUCUUGCGUUGCCAUGCACCGUUCGAGAAAUCAAAGGGUUCAGAUUCCGGGGGGAGUACAGUCGCAAGUCUGAAACUUAAAGGAAUUGACGGAAGGGCACCACCAGGUGUGGAGCCUGCGGCUUAAUUUGACUCAACACGGGACAACUUACCAGGACAGGACAUAGUAAGGAUUGACAGGUUAGCGAUCUUUCUUGAUUCUAUGGGUGGUGGUGCAUGGCCGUUCUUAGUUCGUGGAGUGAUUUGUCUGGUUAAUUCCGCUAACGAACGAGACCUUGACCUUUAAAUAGUGCAGUGUUUCUUAAAUGUUUAAUUUUAGCGUUUUAUGUUUUCAAAUGUAUUUGUUGUACUUCUUAAUGGGACUGCUGUUUGCAUAAACAGAGGAAGUUCAAGGCAAUAACAUGUCUGUGAUGCCCUUAGAUAUCCUGGGCUGCACGCGUGCUACAAUGGACAGUUCAACAAGUUAUAUCCUUGGCCGAAAGGUCUGGGUAAUCUUUAAAAACUGUUCGUACUUGGGAUCGAGUAUUGAAAUUUUUACUCGUGAACGAGGAAUACCUUGUACGUGUGUUCUAUAUUCCCACUCGGAAUACCGUCCCUGCCCUUUGUACACACCGCCCGUCGCUACUACCGAUUGAGUGAUUUAGUGAUUUUCAUCGAUUUACAUUAUCGACUUAGGAUGCUAUGUUGUGGUAAUAAAGUGAAAUGAACUUGAUCGCUUAGAGGAAGUAAAAGUCGUAACAAGGUUUUCGUAGGUGAACCUGCGGAAG
RNAcentral lists this ribosomal RNA (1542 nucleotides) under marine metagenome. RNAcentral's name for it is "SSU rRNA". It matches the Rfam family "Eukaryotic small subunit ribosomal RNA", at positions 325 to 1823 of the family's 1831-position model. The record is from RNAcentral.